This is a long non-coding RNA of Globicephala melas (long-finned pilot whale), 3643 nucleotides long. RefSeq lists it as uncharacterized. The record is from RefSeq and is a predicted model, not a curated record. Lineage: Eukaryota; Metazoa; Chordata; Mammalia; Artiodactyla; Delphinidae.
CUUUGAAUCUCUCUAGUGAAUUUUUCAUUUCAGUUAUUAUAACUUCUGGCUCCAGAAUUUCUUUUUGGCUUCUUAUUAGGUUUUCUAUCUCUUUAUUGAUAUUUCCAUUUUGCUCAUAGAUUACUUUCUUGACUUUCUCUACAUCUCCCUUUAGUUCUUUAAGCAUCUUUAAGACAAGUGUUUUAAGUCUUUUCUAGUAGAUUUGCCAUCAGGCUUUUUUCAGAGACAGUUUUUGUUGGUUUUUAAAAUUUUUUUAUUUUUUGAAUGGGCCAUGAUUUCUUGUUUCUUUGUAUGCCUUGUGAUUUUUUAUUGUUGAAAACUGGACAUUUGAAUCUAAUAAUGUGGUAACUUUGGAAAUCAUAUUCUCUCCCAUCCCCAGGACUUGAUGGAUUUGUUUGUUUUUUUUGUUUUAUUGUUGUAGGCUGUCUCUGCGCCACAGAUCAGCCUGAGAUGUAAACUUAAGGUCUCCUCAGGUCUUUUCUGGACCUGCAUCUUUCCCUGGAGAAGGACUGCGCAGACCGCAGGAACCUCAGGCAAGAGACCAUGAGAGCCUAAGGGCCAGGAAUCUGCAGAAAUUGUGGCAGGAGGUGAAGCCAAGACGGGGUCCUCUGACUUUCUACCACAAGAAAUCGGCCUGGAAAAAAAGUGAAGAUUUUUACUCAGAGUCCCUUCUCAGGACUUCCUGGAGAUCCUGGCUUCAGAGGCAACAGAAAACCAUUCUCCAAAGUGGGAGGAAGGGCUUGAGGUCAAGGGGGCAGCAGGAGAUCCUAAAGAUCUUUCUGCACUAGGUUGGGGUCCCAGGCUCUGCUCUCUCUCUUCCUCGCCCUCUUCAGCUGGAAUCUUUCCCAGCCUGCUCCCCCUGGUGAGUUUUCUGGUGGCGGAUGAGAUUGGAGCUGCGGGAGAAGUGCUUCCCGCACAGCGUGCACCGGUAGGGCUUCUCGCCCCUGUGGGUCCUCUGGUGCGCCCCAAAGUUGGAGAUGUCGCUGAAGGUCCGCCCGCACUCGGCACACUCAUAGGGCCGCUCACCUGUGUGGGUGCGGUGGUGCACGCCGAAGCUGGAGCUGUUGCUGAAGCUCUUCCCGCACUCGCAGCAGAUGUAGGGCGCCGGCUCCAGGUGGGUCCGGUAGUGCACGGCCAGCGCCGAGCUCUGGCUGAAGCUCUUGCCGCAGAUGUCGCAGCGGAAGGGCCACCUGCCCAGGUGGUCCUGCUGGUGCGUGGUGAGGUCCGAGUGCCGCCGGAAGCUCUCCUCGCAGUUGGGGCACUUAUAGUGCUUCUCCUCCAGGUGGAUGCGCUCGUGCCGGAUGCGGUUGGAGCUUCUCGAGAAGCUCUUGCCACACUCAGAACACUUGUAGGGUUUCUCGCCUGUGUGGAUCCGCUGGUGUGUUCUCAGGUUGGAGGUAUUAUUGAAGGUUUUGCCACACUGGGCACAUAUAAAGGGCUUCUCAUCAGCCUCGUGCCUCGGAUGAGCAGAGAGGUCCUCUGGCUCUCCAGCGGGGACAGUGACGUCCUGCGGUGGCUUCUCUGGAUAGAGCCCUUGUGGCCCCUCUGGCAGGCUUGCUUGCCCAUGCUCUUUCUCCCCAUCUGGGAUCCAAGAACCCUCUGAGUCAUCCACUCUCCAUGGCUUAUUACCCCGUUCCCCUUCCUCAGGCAGGUGCCGUUCUGGGCUCUGCUCCUUCUCACUGCCCAUCUCUGAACCCUGAGAAUGAACACAAAUGGCCAACACCUUUAUUCCUUGGGUCAGGCCAGACCCCAGGGAAUCUUUCGUCCUGGUUGAAGGGUUGGGUAUACACCAUCCCUUUGGAACCAUCCGUCAGAAAUAACCUCAAUUAACUGGAAUACUCGGAUAGAAUGCCUUUACUUACUGUCAAGUGACAAACUUCCACAGAUAUUUAAAGCUACCCACCAGAGCAAAAAGAAGGCCUCAGCUUUGUCCAGCCCCAAAAGAUAUUUGUAUGAUGUGCACAAUGUCACUUUUCUUAAUACCACAGUCUAGACUCGAAUUCACCUACAAGUAAAGGAGCUUCCAUUUGGGGAUGCGUUCGAUUUUUCUGCCUAACUGUUAAGUUAACUGAAAUUCCCAUUAUGUUUAAUCGUUUCUGAAAAGCCUUCCUUAAAAGCAUCCACCUAUUUGCCUGUUUUCAAAAUGAAGAGAACAGAAUCUCUAAUUCUUGAGGCUCUCCUACUCGGUUACAAGGCCCAGCUCUGAAUCCUCUUACGUGUACACUCCUUCCCUUCCCCAGACCUCACCACAGUCUAGCAAAUAAAGGCUUAACAUCGGGGUCCUCCAAGACCCACUGAGGGCCUAGGCUGUGUCUGUUCUGAUUGGUCAGUACCCACUUCCACUCAAACACCACACACAGCAGUGCAUACACAGACAGUCUCACACAUAGACUCACACCACACACAGCCAUACUCACAUACCAACACACUCAGCCACUCUCACAACACACAUACGUAUCACGCAGUCACACAUACACAGUCACACGCAUACAUACCACACACAACCCUCCCACACACAGAGCCACAUUCAUGGCUAUCCAAUUACACACCAUACACACAUCCAGCUAUACUCACACACCACACACAGUCUCCCAAACACACAUUCCCUGCCCCCCACACACAGAGUGCCCAACACAGGGCCUACUUAUGCAAACAUCAGCAAAUGCUUGCUAAGCUGCACAGACUCCUUUGAGUUCUGACAGCCAAGGACAGGGAAUGAGGGGAAGAAAGUACUGAUAAGAGGAGAGUGGUAGUUCCUCUGAACCUUGAAGAAGUAACAGCAUUUCAAAAGGCAGCAUGGGCUGGUGGAGAUACUGUACAGAGUGACAUGAACAAAGGGAUGAGGGAGGGAAGCACAAUGAUGGGGCACUGAUGAUGGAAAAUGAAAGCUUCAUAACUGCUCCAGGUGGGGUCUGGUAAUGGAAGGGACACCGACUGAAUUUAGGGUUGGAUCCCUAUAGUGACACAUACAGUCCUUACAACUCUGCAAAUUACUCAACCACUCUGAGCCUCAACUUCCACAUCACUAAAAUUGUGAUACCAACAGACACAGCAGGACUUUGUUAGAGAAAAUGCCUAUAAUAUGCCCAGUGUAAAGUGUGGCAGUACUAGUCAUUCAGUACAUGACAGCUGCUACUACAACUGUUGAAGACGCUACAUGCUAGCCCUGUGAAGAAGGCAAGUAUGAAAAAGAUCCCUUACAUGAUCUUGUUGGGAAACAAAAAAAAUUCAAUUAAAAAAUGGUACAGUACAUAUAAUCUAAAAUGUGAAAUAUGGACAGUACCUUAAAUCUUUAAGGAGUGGGAGGUCAGCAAACUUUCUGUAAAGGACCAGAGAGUAUAUGUUUAGUAAAUUUUGGGGGCCAUAGGAUCUCUGUUGCAGCUACUCAACUCUGCCAUUGUAUCAUAAAGCAGCCAUAGAAAAUCUGUAAAUGAUUGGGUGUGUCUGUUUUCAUAAAACUUUAUUUAAAAGCAGGGCAGGGAUAAAGAUGUAGACAUAGAGAAUGGACUUGAGGACACGGGGUGGGACGGGGAAGCUGGGGCGAAGUGAGAGUAGCAUUGACAUAUAUACACUACCAAAUGUAAAAUAGUUAGCUAGUGGGAAGCAGCAUCAUAGCACAGGGAGAUCAGCUCGGUGCUUUGCA